ACCAGCCCCGACGCCGCCACCCUGGUCAGCCACAGGCCGGCCGCGCCCCAGCCACCCCAGGGCAAGCCUUGUGGAAGGAGGGUUAGAUCAUAGAAGACAACACAGCUUCUGCUGUAUUGGAAAACAGUUGGCUCCUGGAACUCAGCCACUAAUUUGUAAGGAAGCACAAGUCAGGGAGAGGCCACGCGUAGAAGGUGUUUCAGUUGAUCACGCCAGCUGGGUCCCCAGCUGACAACCAGCAUCAUCUGUCACAUCUAUGAGUGAAUGAGCCCUCAGAUGAGUGGAACCUCCAGCCUUGGAGUUUACUUGCUGAAGCCCCCCAGACAUUGUGGAGCAGAGAUAAGCCAUCCUCUACUGCCUGAAUUCCUGACCCCCAGAAACCAUGAGAGCAUUUUCAACACUUUAUAACUAGUUCCCUGGAUUAAAUCACCUGAUUUGAAAUGCUAAUAUGAUUACUGUUUCCUGACUGGAUUCUGAUGCACAUAGUGAUUUGAGCAGAACACUGAGGUUCAGAGAAGUUCUAGCACUCAUUCUUUUGCAUUCAUCCGCUGUAACGAAAUCCAAGGCCUGUGAGGUUCCUAUGGUGGAGCUCCUGGUGACUCAUCCUGUGCCUGAAGCAGCUUCAAGUGUUUGCCUUCUUUGCAUGUCUGGAACUGCUGGGCACCACUGAGCUGUCACCUGGCUUGGGAGAACCACUGAAUCAAGACUGGAACCAAUUAGCAUGGGAAACAUGCCAGCUCGUCCUCCACAUCCCCAGCAGGCACAGCCCGGUUUCUUUGCUGCUGAGAACUCCUCACUGAGGGAAGGCCCCGGUGCUCCAGUGAGACAAAGGAAGAACGGUUCCCCUCUCGCAUUGGUAACCUGGUAGGUGGCCUUGGC
This is a long non-coding RNA of Hipposideros armiger (great roundleaf bat), 879 nucleotides long. RefSeq lists it as uncharacterized. The transcript has 6 exons. The record is from RefSeq and is a predicted model, not a curated record. NCBI's taxonomy places the organism in Eukaryota, Metazoa, Chordata, Mammalia, Chiroptera, Hipposideridae.